UACGGAAGGUCCAGGCGUUAUCCGGAUUUAUUGGGUUUAAAGGGAGCGUAGGCUGUUGGUUAAGCGUGUUGUGAAAUGUAGAUGCUCAACAUCUGAAUUGCAGCGCGAACUGUCCGACUUGAGUGCGCGGAAAGCAGGCGGAAUUCGUUGUGUAGCGGUGAAAUGCUUAGAUAUGACGAAGAACUCCGAUUGCGAAGGCAGCUUGCUGUAGCGUAACUGACGCUGAAGCUCGAAAGUGCGGGUAUCGAACAGG
Molecule: ribosomal RNA, 253 nt
Filed under: uncultured bacterium
Lineage: Bacteria
Also listed under: 1 other name
Description: partial 16S ribosomal RNA
Rfam family: Bacterial small subunit ribosomal RNA
Source: RNAcentral